This 108-nucleotide small nuclear RNA is filed under the name Neotoma lepida (desert woodrat). The record is from RNAcentral. Lineage: Eukaryota; Metazoa; Chordata; Mammalia; Rodentia; Cricetidae.
GUUCAGAAAAAGCAGGAGCACAUAUCCUAAAUUGGAACAACACAGAGAAGAUUAACACGGUCCCUGCACUAAAAUGACAUGCAAAAGCAUAAAGCAUUCUACACUUUU